UGAAUUGAGGCCUCUGAGAUGUUCUGUGGCUUCUCCCAGCACAGACCCUGGUGCCUGUGUCUGGGAGGGUGUGGAGUGGGAAAGCAGGCAGAGACGCAGUUUCUUGGACUUUCAUUAAACUUUGGACAAGUAUAACUUUUUGUCUCUGAAAGGGAAUUGGGCCUUCUCCAAGGCUUCCAUGUAACCAAGGCAUUUUCCCACACUGUUUCCCUUCUUCAAUUUGUAGUGUCAAGUCAGCAAGGAAAGUUCCCUCGUUUUAGUUUUCUAGAUCAGAAGAGAGGGAGAGGAAAUUGACUUGAGCUGGAUGGAUUUGGGGUUCUUUUGUUUUUAAACAAUCGGCUAACACAAUAGAAGGAAAAUUUCCAAAAUCACAAA
RNAcentral lists this long non-coding RNA (375 nucleotides) under Homo sapiens (human). RNAcentral describes it as "non-protein coding lnc-MKI67-7:1". Lineage: Eukaryota; Metazoa; Chordata; Mammalia; Primates; Hominidae. The record is from RNAcentral.